This 1106-nucleotide long non-coding RNA is filed under the name Paramuricea clavata. Lineage: Eukaryota; Metazoa; Cnidaria; Anthozoa; Malacalcyonacea; Plexauridae. The record is from RNAcentral.
CAAAUACAUAAACUAAAACAACAAGUUAAAUUUUAACCCAGGGUUAGCGCAAACCCACCUUUGAACAACCGGCGAAAAAGCUGUUCGUUGAUUGAUAUAACCCACAUUAAAUUUCAGUAUAACUUAUAAUUGUGCUUGACGUCUUUUUUAUCUCUUUAUAUCAAGCAUUUUUUACAACGGUUAAAAAAUCACUACCGGUUGAUAGCGCUAUCUGGCUUUCUUACAACCGACCACCGAUGGAUAAUCCACAUGAAGACGCAGUAUUAGAUGGCAACAAAAAGAAGACGUCACCCAAGAGAACUCAGAAACAGUGCAAGUACUUAAAUGAAUACUCUUAAUUGAGCCUGUUCAAAGAGAGCCUGUUCGCAGGCUAUACUCUUAAUUAAAUAAACAAUUUGUAGGUUUUCUUAUCUUAAACCAUAGUCUGUCAAGAUAUGAUGGUCUGGAAGCCUGGCAAACUUCAAAGCCACAAAAUAGAAGACCUUUGUUUGAUGUUGAACUGUACCUCACCUUGCACAAAUCCUGUCUCAACUUCAUUAAAUAUUAUUUAUCGUGGUUGCACGUUUCAUCUCGGCUAUCCCAAUUGGACGGCUACUUCAUUAUACGGAAAUUUAGUUUCCAGACAAUCAUAUCUUGAUAGACUAUGCUUAAACUUUACCAGCUGGACGACUAUGCACACUGAACUCUAGCCUUAUGUACAGUAGCGAAUUUGAACGAACCUAAGAACGCUUGAAAAAUUGUGUAUUUUCCCCUUGUAAUUAGUCCUCGCCUGAGCUUCGAGGGUUUUUGUCCGGCUGCUUGUAGCCCGCAUGCAGGGUUAGGCCUGACGCGGGUAAAGGCUGGACGCGGGCUACAAGUAGAGCCUGGGCUUCCCGUGCAAAAACUAAUAUUUAUGUAAAAUACAAUCAAUGUAAAAUAGUCAAUCAUGGUAGGUCCACCUAUGGAUAGGUGGUGUGUAAAAGUAGGCUGUACUACUAGUGCGUACAAAUUUGUAUAUUUCUCUUUUGUUAUAUAUAUAAUCAUAAAAAGAUACCACAAAGCCUUCCUGUGUUCCAUGAUCAGACAUAGAUCUUAUGGUAGCAGCCAUACGAGGCGACCUACUCAGC